UGGUUCUGGCAUCGAUGAAGAACGCAGCGAAAUGCGAUAAGUAAUGCGAAUUGCAGAAUUCCGUGAGUCAUCGAAUCUUUGAACGCACAUUGCGCCCCCUGGUAUUCCGGAGGGCAUGCCUGUCCGAGCGUCAUUAAUCCGAUUCAAGCCCGGCUUGAUGGUGGGACCCACCGCCCCGGCGGUCGCCCCGAAAGACAAUGAUAGGCCCCGCGCGCCGUGGAUGCAGCGAGCUUUUUUUAGCACGCGUUCCGGCGCUGUGGGGCGCAUCUCAACCCCAAUCUUAGGUUGACCUCGGAUCAGACAGGGUUACCCGCUGA
This 317-nucleotide unclassified non-coding RNA is filed under the name uncultured fungus. Its description in RNAcentral is "partial contains 5.8S ribosomal RNA and internal transcribed spacer 2". The stretch from base 1 to 133 matches the Rfam family "5.8S ribosomal RNA", at positions 22 to 154 of the family's 154-position model. The record is from RNAcentral. Lineage: Eukaryota; Fungi.